This 2393-nucleotide long non-coding RNA is filed under the name Penaeus japonicus. RNAcentral describes it as "uncharacterized LOC122266099". The record is from RNAcentral. Lineage: Eukaryota; Metazoa; Arthropoda; Malacostraca; Decapoda; Penaeidae.
UGUAUAUCCAUGCAUACAUACACAUAUAAGCAUUCAUGUAUCAUUUUGCGUUUGUGUUUAAGCGUAUAUCUAUACAUUUAUCAGCAUCAUGAUUUACAUAUACAUAUAGUACGUGUAUAGAUUGUCUCACAACAUUAUAUAUUGCGCCUCAGUGCUUAAAUACGAAAUAUUUCCUAAAUCGAAAUACGCCGAUAACAAACCGCAAAUAAUAGUUUCGUAAGUACUUCGCAAUACCGCCGUCACGUGUCAGACUGUUCUUUGGCGGGUGCAGAGAGUCGUAAAACAUUAAGAUUACGUAUCGCUAUCAGGCUGUCCCUCCCCCGCCUUUGGAACGACCUUGAAGCUAGACACUGGGCGUUAGAGGGGUGGGACGCAAAGGGAGACAAGGAGAGGGAAGCAGUGGGAUGGAGAAGAGAGGCAAGGAUGUAAAAGAAAAGGAGAAGGGAUGGAGAAGAGAGGCAAGGAUGUAAAAGAAAAGGAGAAGGGAUGGAGAAGAGAGGGGAGGAUGGAAAGUAGAUGGAGAAGAGAGGCAAUGGAUGGAGAAGAGGCGAAGGAAGCAGGUGAAGGAGACGAGGCGAAGAAAUAGUGGGUUGGACCUCGCAUAACGCCAGAGAAUUAAAUAAGACACAAAAUAAAACACACUCGAGCCGCGGGGAAAAAAGGUGGAGAUAUCGAAAGGCUAAAGGGCAGAUAUCGAAAACUGAUAAAACGUACGUGUGGGGGUGUUAUUUGUUCUAAUUUCUAUGUAGAGAAAUGUCGAAAAAAAGAAUGAAGUGAACGAGUGGAGAAAGGAAUGACAAAGACGAAAUAAGAAUAAAAAAGUAUGCAGGCAAUAAAGUAGUCGGGGGACUGGAUAGUAGAGUGGUAAGUGCUACAGCUGAAGAAUGGAAGGAAAAAUCUGAUUGAUUAGAGUAAGUCUAAAUAUAAGGGUCUAAGAUAAAAAGAAACAAAUAUCAGAGAAAUGUUAACGAUCAGUCGUGAGACGUGGCUGGUGUCAGCAUCUGUUUAAAGAACAUAGAUAAGACCUCUUCAAGUUGCUGUGGAUAAUAUUUAGGCAUUCUUAUCGCAUGGCAAUGUCAGCCAUGGCCGUUUAGGUUCACGUGAUCUUUGGAGUUCAAGCUGCAUCAAUUGCGGUCUUUAUCUUUGUCUCUCUCUCUAUCUGCCUGUCUCCGUCCCUUUGGCUUUUUAUCUCUUGAGGAGAGAAAUGCCACGCUUAAUGCCCGUCCCUUCCUCAGGCGGGAACGACGAGACUCGCGGGAGUCGCUGCUGGAGGGCGAGGGGAACGACCGAGCGUGCUGGUACGACGCGCCGCCGCCCUACGUGGAGGUCGUCCCUCCGCCGCCCUCGUACCAGGAUGCCAUUGCUCAUGUGGAGAAAGCCUGCCCCGUGAGCGAUGCCUCAGCCGCACCAACAACGACCAGCGACGCACCGGGCUUAACCUGCAGGAUGGACGCUCCGAUCAGGGACUUCGCAAGGACGUCCUGUGACUUCGACUGCCAGUUGCCCUUCGACACGAGGUCAUCGCAAGCUCGAGUCGCUCCGCCUGAACGCAGUGCUUGCAGACCCCUCGCUUCACACCACAAUGACGUGGCAAUACACAUAUGAAGCUUUUAUGGGAAUGAUCUUGCGAUUUUGAUGAAAUUUGGCCUUUCGCGCCUCAUUAACGUGUGUCCGGACGCCAUUGGCCAGAGACACAGAGAAAGACCCGAAAAGAUACAUUUGAGUCGGCGCAAUAAGGAGUCCUCUUGAAUGGGUUCGCGUGGAUGUGGAUUUUUUUUUUUUUUUUUUUUUCAAAUGAAGAAAUAUGUUAUACAGAAGUUGUACAUUUGUGUAUGAACAUAGCAUCAUCUCUUUUUAUCUGUUUAAACAACAAUAUCAUUCUCUGUAGUUAUUGUGUCUGUGUUUUGAUAUGUUAGUAUAUUUGACUCAGUGUUUCGUCACUGUUUAUGCGUUAGUAUAUUUGACUCAGUGUUUGUCACUGUUAAUGUUAGUAUAUUAGACUCAAGUUAUCUUGUCACUGUUAAUACGUUAGGUUAUUUGACUCAGUGUUAUGUCACUGUUAAUAUGUUAGUCUGUUCGACACACAAUGUACACUUCCAUUAUCAAAAAUUAUUUCCCUGUUUUAUGUGCUCAUCAGUGGCUUUGUGCUAUCACUCGUAAAUAGUUUCUUAUUCUGAUUUUCAUCUUACAAACAACUAUCACUCCAUUUUUAAACGGCCUGAAGAUAACACUAAGAUAAUUCAUUUAUAUGCCUUUCAGGUCGAGAUUCCUGUACAAGAUAUAAUUAUCUUACUUGAUCCUUUCCCUAUUUUCUUUCCAUUUUUCUAAUAAUUGUUGAGUAAUUUCUUGUUCAACAUCUAUCCCUUUUAAUUCAAUAAAAAAGACAUCGUAAA